AAUCUUUUUUACUCUUAAUCGUCUUAACAAUUGGGUUUUCAAACAAUUCUCUUGUUUUCUAUUGUUAAUUGUUUUAACCCUCUAAUCACCUUGAUUUUUAAUCUUUCAAUUUUUUUCUACCUUUCCAAGUCCAAUGAAAUCUUUCAACUUUCCAUGGAUCAAAUAUUCUGGUAAUUAGAUUGACGUGUUGACUUGGUUUUCGGUUUUUGGUUACCUUUCCCACCCAAACGUUUUUCUCUGUUCCUCUUUUUUUUCCUUCACAAUCUCAAUAUCAAGAGAGUUACAAUUUCCUCUCUCUCUCUCUCACACACACACACCGAUUCAUUUAGAAAAUUCUGCUUGGUGUAUGUGUGUGUCUCAUCUCCUAUGGCUGUGAUCACCUCAAAGGAUGUUAUCAACCUUUACAGGUCACUUUUACGAUAUGGUUAUAAUCUAGAAUUAUCGGAUAAAAAGUUUUACUUGAAGCGAGUUAGAAACGAGAUCAGAAAGAACCGAGAUUUAUCAAAACCUGAAGAAAUUGAAUACGCUUACCAGAAGGGAUUAACUUUCUUAAAAAAUGAGAGGCUUUUGUGAGAAAAAAAAACAAUGUCCUACUCUCAGUAAAUCUUGAUGAUAUUUCCAAGAUAAACUUGUAUCUAUUUUGAUCCUAAAUUGAUUCUAAUAAUUAGUUUACUUCUUUAACUCAAACCAUUAUAACUCAUCGGAAAUCAUCAUCAACCUGUUUUUAACCUCACAAUUUGCUCAUGUUGAAUUUACCUUCAUGAUUAGUGAAACAUUUGUGCCUAUCAUUUCAACAUCUAAUUUCUGUAUAUUUAACACACCACCAAUCUAAUUGUAAAAGAAAAACAAUCAACCAUUUAA
This is a long non-coding RNA of Panonychus citri (citrus red mite), 861 nucleotides long. RefSeq lists it as uncharacterized. NCBI's taxonomy places the organism in Eukaryota, Metazoa, Arthropoda, Arachnida, Trombidiformes, Tetranychidae. The record is from RefSeq and is a predicted model, not a curated record. The transcript is spliced from 3 exons.